Rosa chinensis is the source of this 420-nucleotide long non-coding RNA. RefSeq lists it as uncharacterized. The transcript is spliced from 4 exons. The record is from RefSeq and is a predicted model, not a curated record. Lineage: Eukaryota; Viridiplantae; Streptophyta; Magnoliopsida; Rosales; Rosaceae.
GUUUUCAAGGGUUGGAACAGGUUAUGCUGGUGUGGUAGAAAAGAGAAGAAGAGGGAUUGAAAUCAGUAAGGUUCCAAGGUUUGAAGCUGGUCGUAGAAAGGAGAAGAAGAGGGAUUGAAAUCGUUCUAAAUUUUGUUCCCUGGAAUAUCUACGAAAGAAGAAUAGGGAUUGAAAUCGAGCUUUGGCUCAACUUUUGCAACAAAGUGCAUUACAACUCACUAUAUGCUACCACAGGACUGCAGACAAAAUUCCAUCCAUUCAAAACAGAACUCCAUUAACUUUUAAUUAUACCUCACCUCAAUAGCUAUUUCAGGAGCAUACUUCAAUUCAAUUUAUACAUUGUAAUACAAAAUUUUGGCCAAGAUGUACCUCACUUCACAACAUAAUUUCAAUAAAAACAAUUCCUCUGGAAUUUUUCCC